GCAAACUUGGUCAUUUAGAGGAAGUAAAAGUCGUAACAAGGUUUCCGUAGGUGAACCUGCGGAAGGAUCAUUACAAAUCCACCUUAUCAAACCACGUUGAACUGUUCCGCCGCUGCCGCUGCCGCCGCCGUGACCUCUAUCGUCUCUAUAUGGGAUGGUGGGGGGUAAGGUGGGGGCGCGACGCGCGCGUUCAUGUCACUUGUUGUUCUUCUGUUGCUCGAUUGUACCUCUAUGAGGAUGAUGAUACAAAUCAUCUAAAAACAACGACAACUUAUAACAAUGGAUCUCUAGGCUCUUGCAUCGAUGAAGAACGCAGC
This 317-nucleotide unclassified non-coding RNA is filed under the name uncultured fungus. RNAcentral's name for it is "partial contains small subunit ribosomal RNA, internal transcribed spacer 1, and 5.8S ribosomal RNA". The stretch from base 1 to 73 matches the Rfam family "Eukaryotic small subunit ribosomal RNA", at positions 1759 to 1831 of the family's 1831-position model. The record is from RNAcentral. Lineage: Eukaryota; Fungi.